Molecule: ribosomal RNA, 490 nt
Filed under: uncultured bacterium
Lineage: Bacteria
Description: partial 16S ribosomal RNA
Rfam family: Bacterial small subunit ribosomal RNA
Source: RNAcentral
GAUGAACGCUAGCUACAGGCUUAACACAUGCAAGUCGAGGGGAAACGAUGAGAGAGCUUGCUCUCUUAGGCGUCGACCGGCGCACGGGUGAGUAACGCGUAUCCAACCUACCCAUUACAGGGGGAUAACCUUGCGAAAGUAAGACUAAUACCCCAUGGCAUUUUAUGGUGGCAUCAUUAUAGGAUUAAAGAUUUAUUGGUAAUGGAUGGGGAUGCGUCUGAUUAGCUUGUUGGCGGGGUAACGGCCCACCAAGGCAACGAUCAGUAGGGGUUCUGAGAGGAAGGUCCCCCACAUUGGAACUGAGACACGGUCCAAACUCCUACGGGAGGCAGCAGUGAGGAAUAGUGGUCAAUGGGCGAGAGCUUGAACCAGCCAAGUAGCGUGCAGGAUGACGGCCCUAUGGGUUGUAAACUGCUUUUAUAGGGGAAUAAAGUGAGCUACGUGUAGUUUAUUGCAUGUACCCUAUGAAUAAGGACCGGCUAAUUCCGUG